ACCAAUUUGGCAGAUAAAUGCAUUAGAUUUAGGAUCUAACUAUAAGAGAUUCUUAAUUGGUA
Molecule: transfer RNA, 62 nt
Filed under: Streptocephalus sirindhornae
Lineage: Eukaryota; Metazoa; Arthropoda; Branchiopoda; Anostraca; Streptocephalidae
Description: tRNA-Leu
Source: RNAcentral